Molecule: long non-coding RNA, 691 nt
Organism: Tupaia belangeri chinensis (Chinese tree shrew)
Lineage: Eukaryota; Metazoa; Chordata; Mammalia; Scandentia; Tupaiidae
Exons: 3
Source: RefSeq, a predicted model, not a curated record
UGCUGGUACGUGCUGUUAAGAUACUAUGUUCCACAGGCUGGGAUCAGAUGGGAGGUGUGCUCAUAUUCUUGACCCAAUCCAAUGGCCAGGUGUAAUAGUAAACACCUGCAAACCCAAGAGGAUCACAACAUGGAAUGUUGGCAGUAAUCUUGGAUUAUUUAUUUAAAAUCAUUAAAGCAAGAGCUGUGAGUUUUUGUAAGAUUUAUGAGAUUCAGGGAAGCUAAAUCUCAUCAAUGGCUCCAGAGAUAAGAGACCUCUUGAUAUCUGGCUAUGAAGAUAGGGAGGAGGAAGACACCACCAGCCCCUUCCUGCAUAUGUGGUUACACUGAGGCAGAUGUUAUCAGAUUAAGCCGGGCAAAGCUACACCCAGAUCCACACCACUACUAGAGCAGAAGCCAAAGAUUUUCUUGACUCUACCUUGAUUCUGCUCCUUCUAAAACAUUGCUUAGAUUUAAGCUUCUGGCAAAAAACUGAAACUGGUCUUUCCAUCCUGCAAGCCUGGGAACAAAACAUGCUCCUCAAGCACUGACUGCCUCCCCGAGUGAUCCUGCCUAAAGACAAUGAGAGGCCACCUCAUGAUUUUGCCUCCAAGACAAUGAAACGGUUACCCUUUGCUUCUAGGUGUGCACUCACAUUGACUCUUUCCAGUGCAUUCUGUAUUUCUUCCAGUGAGGAGGAGAUGGUUAUGGAC